Molecule: long non-coding RNA, 229 nt
Filed under: Hordeum vulgare
Lineage: Eukaryota; Viridiplantae; Streptophyta; Magnoliopsida; Poales; Poaceae
Description: long non-coding RNA (HVUL_LNC013115)
Source: RNAcentral
UCAAGCCAAGAUUUAGAGGGAAUAAAGAUAUCAUACCUCAUUGGUUACCAGAGGCGCCACAAGAUCUAUAGGAGGGCUCGAAGGGAAUAGAAUGUUGUGGCGGCCCUGAGACAGUCGUCGAAGCAAGCACAUGAACAGCAGCAAUGGCGCAACCGGUUUUCAGGCCAUAGGAAUAAGAAGAAGAAGAAGAAGAAGAAGAAGAAGAAGAAGAAGAAGAAGAAGAAGAAGA